RNAcentral lists this ribosomal RNA (429 nucleotides) under uncultured bacterium. Its description in RNAcentral is "bacterial SSU rRNA". It matches the Rfam family "Bacterial small subunit ribosomal RNA", at positions 917 to 1344 of the family's 1533-position model. The record is from RNAcentral.
GGACCCGCACAAGUAGUGGAGCAUGUGGUUUAAUUCGAAGAUACGCGCAGAACCUUACCAACACUUGACAUGUUCGUCGCGACUUUAAGAGAUUAAAGUUUUCGGUUCGGCCGGACGAAACACAGGUGCUGCAUGGCUGUCGUCAGCUCGUGUCGUGAGAUGUUGGGUUAAGUCCCGCAACGAGCGCAACCCUCACUUUUAGUUGCCAUCAUUUAGUUGGGCACUCUGAAAGAACUGCCAGUGAUAAGCUGGAGGAAGGUGGGGAUGACGUCAAGUCCUCAUGGCCCUUACGUGUUGGGCUACACACGUGCUACAAUGGCACUUACAAUAGGAAGCAAGACGGCGACGUUAAGCAAAUCCUAAAAAAGUGCCUCAGUUCGGAUUGUACUCUGCAACUCGAGUACAUGAAGCUGGAAUUACUAGUAAUCG